Molecule: long non-coding RNA, 642 nt
Filed under: Phasianus colchicus (ring-necked pheasant)
Lineage: Eukaryota; Metazoa; Chordata; Aves; Galliformes; Phasianidae
Description: lncRNA (ENSPCLG00000001408.1)
Source: RNAcentral
CUCUACACAUCGGAUAACCCCCAUGGAGCUUUCCUUUUUCUGCUGUGUCCUUUUAGAAUGAGUUAUCAUUUAUCAAGGUCCCCUUGGGGAUUUGAAAUUACUGUGUAGGCUAAAGGUUCCCAGACUUCAUAUUGGAAAGCUAAGCACACCAAACAGGAUGGACUUGCAAUCCACUUCACAACCAUGCCUACUGGAGUCCCUCUUUAGGAACUUCAGCCCAUCUGCAUUGAAGAUAUGGAAAAACUGGUGAUGAUCUGGUCUGUCACUGGGCAGCUGUAGGAGGACCUUAUCUUCUUCGUGAGCCAGUACUUUUGUCUUCUUACUCAGUGCAAUGGUGAUGCUCUUUGGAGAAAAGAUCAGCUACCCUACUUCCUGCCUUUUCCCCAUAGCAUGAUCUGAAGUGGGACAGAAGCAUCAGAAGUACAGCGCACAGGUGAAAAGAUUAAUUUGUUUCCUGGGAGAUGUCACUGUUCUCGGUUCCCAACUAUCCUUCUAGAACAUGUAGGCCAGCUCAUCCAAAAUUAAUGUUCAUACUGUGAUAAUUUGAUAUUGUUUUAGGAAUAUUCCUAGUAGGGAUAAUGUGUUUUAUGGCAUUACAUUAAGAUAACAGUAAGCAAAAAUAUACACUCCCCCUCUUAACUC